AAUCAUAUAUCAAAAUUAAAUUCAACCCUUUGUAUCAUUUUUCCCAAAAGAUCAAACCUUUUUUUUAUCAACAUCUCUCUCUCUCUUUUGAUUGUCAAAUGGAUUGAUAAUAGAAUCAAACGAAGUAUGGGAUACCAGUAAAUUGACUCUUGAAAUUCUUUAAUUCACUUUGAUCCACGCCCACUCAUUCCUUUUUUUUCCCCCUACUUUUUGCACAAAUAUUUGUCUCUUAAUAAUAUUGUACAAAUAAUCUAUUCAAUGUCAAACCUCAAAAUGAUUAGAAACUAAACUUCAAGUGCUGAAUUGAUUAGAACUAAAAUUGGCAAUAUAGCGAUCAAAUGUUAAUGAUACAGCAAUAAUAUUUUGAAGAUAAAACAAUUAAACGUUAACAACACAUUAAAACUAUCAGCCAUUUGUACAAUUGCGAUUUGACUUUGAGAAAAGAUCCGUUUGACCAUUCUUUUUAUAGGUCCAAGUACUAUCCGUGUGAUCUAAGUAGUGUUGGUUCUUGGUACAACUAUUUGGGAAUAUAGAAACAUUUUGUAAAACAAAGAAGGCGUUCAGCAAAUACAUAAAAUUGAGUGUAAUCGGAAGUUGAAACACGAAAGAAAACAUAUGAAGAAAAACCCCUAAUUAGCAUUGAAAUUAUUGAAAGCCAAAGGACAAACCAAAAUCUUCACCUUAACUUUGCUUUCUCCCAUUAGAAUUUUCUUUGCUUUCUUGCAUAACAUUCACAAUAGUAACACCGCCUGACAGUGCUAUGAUCACAAAUGAUAAACAACAUACUAAACGGAAGUGAUGGUUUGAAUCUGGAAUCAAUGCAUACCUGAAAAGCUGAUUUAAAAUUGGUUAUGCUUUUCCCAUGCUCGUAACAUUUAUCAUUUGCAAUCAGUAAAAUUUUCCUGAUAAGGGGAAAGCAAGGAGAGUAAGUUAUAAGCAAAGUUGACAGACAAAACAGUUCGCUGCACAGAGAGACAGAGAACUUACAUCAGCUGUGCUCUCAAAUACAUAUGGUAAUCUGCAUACGAAGAAGCAGUUCUUUUUUUUUAAACCUUAAAUUCUGAUUCUAUGAUUUUGCAUUUGACUCCAACCAACAAGCAUGCUUAGAGGAUAUAUACCAUAAAGUAUAACAGUCAGUAGACGCUCAUACCACCACCAGCACAUACAACAACAAACAAUAAACAACAAAGCCUUUUCCCACUAAGUGGGGUCGGCUAUAUGAAUCCUAGAACGCCAUUGCGCUCGGUUUUGUGUCAUGUCCUCCGUUAGAUCCAAGUACUCUAAGUCUUUUCUUAGAGUCUCUUCCAAAGUUUUCCUAGGUCUUCCUCUACCCCUUCGGCCCUGAACCUCUGUCCCGUAGUCACAUCUUCGAACUGGAGCGUCAGUCGGCCUUCUUUGCACAUGUCCAAAUCACCGGAGCCGAUUUUCUCUCAUCUUUCCUACAAUUUUGGCUACUCCUACUUUACCUCGGAUAUCCUCAUUCCCAAUCUUAUCCUUUCUCGUGUGCCCACACAUCCCACGAAGCAUCCUCAUCUCCGCUACACCCAUUUUGUGUACGUGUUGAUGCUUCACCGCCCAACAUUCUGUGCCAAAAACAUCGCUGGCCUUAUUGCCGUCCUAUAAAAUUUUCUCUUGAGCUUCAGUGGCCUACGACGGUCACACAACACGCCGGAUGCACUCUUACACUUCAUCCAUCCAGCUCGUAUUCUAUGGUUGAGAUCUCCAUCUAAUUCUCCGUUCUCUUGCAAGAUAGAUCCUAGGUAGCGAAAACGGUCGCUUUUUGUGAUCUUCGCUAGAUUGCUCCGGUCAUUAGUGUGGAUAAGUAUAUAAAUGGAUAGAGAUAGGAAAGCAAACACAAGAUGUACGUGGUUCACCCAGAUUGGCUACGUCCACGGAAUAGAAGAGUUCUCAUUAAUUGUGAAGGGUUUACACAAGUACAUAGGUUCAAGCUCUCCUUUAGUGAGUACAAGUGAAUGAUUUAGUACAAAUGACAUUAGGAAAUAUUGUGGGAGAAUGAUCUCGUAAUCACGAAACUUCUAAGUAUCGGAGUGUGGUGUCGUCUUGACUUGCCUUAUCUGUCUCAUAGGUAGAUGUGGCAUCUUCUCUGGAAGUACUCUUCCUCCAUCCAGGGGUGGUAUCUUUAACUGGUGGAGAUGCACAAGGUAAUGUAUCAAUUUCACUUGAAGCUGAAGCUUACUUGUAGUUUCAGGCUUGGUCAAGCGCGAUACAAACCAUGUAGUAAGAGUCCCCCAAGUCGCCGAGCUAGGGGGUCUGCUGAAAGAGGUGACAGACAAGGUAAGCAAUCAGAGCUCCGACUGAUUGUUCACCUUCUCCCCAUCUUGCAGCAGCAUGAAGGAUAAAGAGAAGAAAAAUGAGAAGAGAUGAUAUGAGAUACUUUUGCUUUUGAAGAAGUAACUUUCCACAGGCUUAUUCUUGAACUGAGCUGGAGGGUUUUCUGGUUUCCUCCAGAGUAUAAGGCCGACUGAAGAAUUUGAGGGUCAAAACAAGUCCAUCAAAUCUAGAGUACGUUCCACCCUGCUGCUGAUAUGGGAUACUUUUGCUUUUGACAGAGUAAUGGAUGUAUCGGCACGUGUGCUGUUACGCUUGUCUCCACAUGCUUCCUUGUAUCCUUCGCACUUGCCCUAUCUGUUCCUCAAGCAGAUGCGGAAUCUUCCCUGGAAACAUAACAUGUUGAAGAUGAGUACUCGAGAGCAAUGCCAGGUAAGUAAUCAGGUAAGGGGUUCCAGGCAGUCAGUUCCUGGCUGGAAGCUUGAUUCCAAGUGCUGACUGAUUGCUCUCUUUCUCCUUGUCUUGCAGGUAAAAAACAAGGCCAAAGGAAAAGACAGGGAAAAAGCAUGAUAUGGGAUACUCUUGCUUUUAACCCUGAUGAUAUGAGAUAUUCUUGCUCUAGUAUAUAGCUUGUUUGCAGAGGUAUUAUCGGGGGGAAAGAAAGCUGAAUAUUUCGAAAGGCUUCGUUGGGAGUGCCCUCUCAGAUAUGAUGAAGGGUUGAGCAUUUUUGCAGGUCUGCCUGUCCGUUGGGGAUGGAGGUCGACAUAUAUAGGAGUCUCCCUAACAACAAGUAGUAAUGCUAUUCCUUUACCCUGCUUGGUCAUAGCACGGUAGUGGGAGCUGCCAGUUUCACAUGUCUUAACUCUGUCAGAGCACUUUGAAAAAGUGGUCUGUGGUAUCUGGCUCUCGAGAUUCGGAAAACGAUGCCUCUUCGAUUUUUGAGAAAAGCAAUCAUGCUGGGGGGUCUGGCUCUCGAGAUUCGGAGAGCAGUGUCUCUUCGAUUUUUGAGGAAGUAAUCAUGUUGGGAGUCUGGCUCUUGAGAUUCGGAGGGCGGUGCCUCUUCGAUUUUGGAGCAAGCAAUCCUGUUGGGAGUGUUGUCUCGAAUGUGAGUAAAGGUUGGGCAUGUUUGCUAGUCUACCUUGCCACGAAGCACAAAGGUUGACACACACAGGGACUUUCCAAUUAUCCAGCAAUGGUACUGUUCCUUUACCCUCUCUUCGCUUUUGAGAAAGUAGUCAUGUUGGGAGUCUGGCUCUCUCGAGAUUCGGAGGACGGUGCCUCUUCGAUUUUGGAGCAAGCAAUCUUAUUGGGAGUGUUUUCUCGAAUGUGAGUAAAGGUUGGGCAUGUUUGCUAGUCUACCUUGCCACGAAGCACAGAGAUUGACACACAGGGACUUUCCAAUUAUCCAGCAGUGGUACUGUUCCUUUACCCUUAUGGGUAAUAAUAUGGUAGCUAGACCUUCAAAAUUUAUGUGUCUAAACUUUGUUAGUGCUGUUUCUUUGCUAUUCUUUUACCUUUCUUGGUCAGAGCGAUGUAGUGGGAGCUGAAAGCUUCACGUGCUCAACUUUGGCAGAGAACUUUGGCAAAGUUAUCUGUGGUACCCAUGAGCUAUUGUUGCGUGUAACAGGUGCUGACAAGGCUAGAAAAGUAGGUGCCUCUUCGAUUUCUGAGAUCGGCCCUCGUGGUCUCUGAGCAGCCCAGCUUUUGAGAAAGCGAGCGCCUCUUCGAUUGAUUCGGAGAACGAUGCCUCAUCGAUUUUUGAGAAAGCAAUCAUGCUGGGGAUCUGGCUCUCGAAGAUUCGGGAAGCAGUGUCUCUUCGAUUUUUGAGAAAGUAAUCAUGUUGGGAGUCUGGCUCUCGAGAUUCGGAGGGCGGUGCCUCUUCGAUUUUGGAGCAAGCAAUCUUGUUGGGAGUUUUCUCGAAUGUGAAUAAAGGUUGGGCAUGUUUGCUAGUCUACCUUGCCACGAAGCACAGAGGUUGACACACAGGGACUUUCCAAUUAUCCAGCAAUGGUACUGUUCCUUUACCCUCUCUUCGAUUUUUAAGAAAGUAGUCAUGUUGGGAGUCUGGCUCUCGAGAUUUGGAGGACGGUGCCUCUUCGAUUUUGGAGCAAGCAAUCUUAUUGGGAGUGUUUUCUCGAAUGUGAGUAAAGGUUGGGCAUGUUUGCUAGUCUACCUUGCCACGAAGCACAGAGGUUGACACACAGGGACUUUCCAAUUAUCCAGCAGUGGUACUGUUCCUUUACCCUUGUGGGUAAUAAUAUGGUAGCUAGACCUUCAAAAAUUAUGGGUCUAAACUUUGUUAGUGUUGUUUCUUUGCUAUUCUUUUACCCUUCUUGGUCAGAGCGAUGUAGUAGGAGCUGCAAGCUUCACGUGCUCAACUUUGGCAGAGAACUUUGGCAAAGUUAUCUGUGGUACCCGUGAGCUAUUGUUGCGUGUGGGAAGUGGGUGAUUGAACAGUAAGAUUCAUGUGUUUUCUACUUCCCCAAAAGUCUUCGACAGAAUGCCCAUAAUUUCCGCAAAGCUGAGUGUGCGUGUGACAGGUGCUGACAAGGCUGGAAAAGUAGGUGCCUCUUCGAUUUCUGAGAUCGGCCCUCGUGGUCUCUGGGGAGCCCAGCUUUUGAGAAAGCGAGCGCCUCUUCGAUUUCUGAGAUCGGCCUUCGUGGUCUUUGAGCAGCCCAACUUUUGAGAAAGCAAACGCCUCUUCGAUUUCUGAGAUCAACCCUCGUGAUCUCUAAGCAGCCUAACUUUUGAGAAAGCAAACGCCUCUUCGAUUUCUGAGCAGGCGCCUCUUCGAUUUCUGAAGCUCCGUCAAGUGCAGAUUUUUAUAGGGGCUGGCAUUAAGUUCCAAAGCACACUUGAAUCUCCACCAGUAGAAGCUUCAUUCUUGCACUUCUAAGAUCUUGAUUUGUCCGACCUCUUCUCUCUUCAACACCUUUGAAAAUGUCUGGCCCCUCCGACCGUCGUUUUGACUUGAACCUUGUUGAAGAGGCAGCCCCGCCUUCUCCAGACAACAUAUGGCGCCCAUCCUUCGUCUCCCUUACUGGUCCUCUUACCGUUGGGGAUUCCGUGAUGAAGAAUGAUAUGACCGCUGCGGUGGUGGCCAGGAACCUUCUCACUCCCAAAGAUAACAGACUACUUUCCAAACGGUCUGAUGAGUUAGCUGUUAAGGAUUCGCUGGCUCUCAGUGUUCAAUGUGCAGGUUCUGUGUCUAAUAUGGCCCAACGCCUAUUUGCUCGAACCCGCCAAGUUGAAUCAUUGGCGGCUGAAGUGAUGAGUCUCAAACAGGAGAUUAGGGGGCUCAAGCAUGAGAAUAAACAGUUGCACCGGCUCGCACAUGACUAUGCUACAAACAUGAAGAAGAAGCUUGACCAGAUGAAGGAAACUGAUGGUCAGGUUUUACUUGAUCAUCAGAGAUUUGUGGGUUUGUUCCAAAGGCAUUUAUUGCCUUCGUCUUCUGGGGCUGUACCGCAUAAUGAAGCUCUGAAUGAUCAACCUCUGAUGCCUCCUCCUUCUAGGGUUCUGUCCAGUACUGAGGCUCCAAAUGAUCCCCCUCCGGUGCCUUCUCUUUCUGGGGCUCUACCGACUGCUGAGACUUCUCCUAAGCAACCUUUGUGAAGGCUCCCUCUUGUGUGUUUAUUUUGACUCAUGCAUAUGUACAUAUUUGUAGCUUAUCGGGGAUAUCAAUAAAUAAGCUUUCCUUCAUUUCAACGUAUUGUGUUAAAUACACCAAAGCCUUCUUCGCUAAGUUCUUUGAAUUUUCUUUUGUUGAAGCUUGUAUGUUGAAGCUUUCUGAGUGGAGCAUGUAGGUUGGGGUAGUGUUCCCUUAAUUUCCCGAGUGAGGAAAACUUCUCGGUUGGAGACUUGGAAAAUCCAAGUCACUGAGUGGGAUCGGCUAUAUGAAUCUUAGAACGCCAUUGUGCUCGAUCCUGUGUCAUGUCCUUCGUUAGAUCCAAGUACUCUAAGUCUUUUCUUAGAGUCUCUUCCAAAGUUUUCCUAGGUCUUCCUCUACCCCUUCGGCCCUGAACCUCUGUCCCACAGUCGCAUCUUCUAAUCGGAGCGUCAGUAGGCCUUCUUUGCACAUGUCCAAACC
This 6379-nucleotide long non-coding RNA is filed under the name Malus domestica (apple). RNAcentral describes it as "long non-coding RNA (MDOM_LNC007330)". Lineage: Eukaryota; Viridiplantae; Streptophyta; Magnoliopsida; Rosales; Rosaceae. The record is from RNAcentral.